CAUAGAGGAAAAGUUUUGCUUCCUCCAAUGGCAAAUCUCUUGUACCCACUCUGAAUCAUUUAUUAAGUGACUACUCUAUAUAUGCAAGGCAGUGGGCUAACUAUUAGAAUACAAAAACCACCCAUUAUUCCUUGCAUAGCUGUUUAUGAGCUACCUCCAACAGAAAUGGAAAGGCAGAUGGAGAAAAGAAAGGAUGGAUUAAAGGAGAGAAGAGAGAUUUUUUUUUAUCAGCAACUUAUCCAUCACCUGCCUUAAGGAAAUCCAGUUUCCUAUGGUUUAUCCCUAAAGAAAGGAAGCAGAAAGAUACAAAGAGGUCUAGUAGAGUACACACAGUAAAGAGAUGCCUAGGGAGCAGCUAAUCGGUCCUGUAAAGUUACCAAGGCAACGGCACCUGGCUGUGACCUCACAGUGGGAAUAGUAGUAGAUGAGCAGACGUCAGGCAAAACCAGCCCACCACAAGUCUUCUUGCUUCAGGGAACAUGCCAGCAUGCUCAGUCCUUAGUGGGCACUAUGCUGAGGUUUAUCAACAAAUACUGCUGAUAAUCUAUGUUUUACAGGUUUAAGAAGAAGCCCCAGGACACUCUCUCAGCAGCAACUGGUUUGAUUGAUUCUCCUUCUGGAAAUGCCAGGUUGGAAGAACAGAAUCAAUCACAUUUCAGUUGAAUUGAGAGCAGAAUCAAUCACGUUUUACAUUGAGAAGAAUGAGGUAUCUCCACAAUGGGCCCCAUUCUCAUGAGGCUUUUCUUGGUAGAAAAUUCCCAUGCGCUGAACUCCUAUAGCUUAAGUUAUUGCAUGAAAAUAAAAGAAAAAAAUGUGUGUG
Long non-coding RNA from Monodelphis domestica (gray short-tailed opossum), 820 nucleotides. RefSeq lists it as uncharacterized. Lineage: Eukaryota; Metazoa; Chordata; Mammalia; Didelphimorphia; Didelphidae. The record is from RefSeq and is a predicted model, not a curated record.